UUCUUAAAAAAGAAAUAAAUACUUUUAUUUUGUGGUCACAGAUAUAAGUGUCUGGUGCCUUUCAGUAGCGCAUUCAGCAGUCACUGGAAAUGGGUUUGUUCUGUGCAUCAAUUACAAGUAACAAAUGACACGGGUUAAAAUUGUUAAUUUUACAAUUCUUAUCAGAGUUCAGGUGAGGUUUGUUGUAGCAACAUCCCAAAUGUAGCUGAAUGGAUAAACUUUCUGACGGUAACAGAUCGUCAUUCAGUAGUCUUCAUACUUGCUUGUCUUAAGGUUGACGAGCGAUGCCCUGAGAGUUAAAGAAAGAUCUGCACUUUUAAAAGGGGGGGAAUGCACAUAAACGAGUUCAUAGCGUUUCUUUUACUGCCUUGAGUAGAAGCUGAGCUGCAGAUCUUCCUGCAGGGUUUUUUCCUGAACUGCUUACUGCAAAAAGUCAAAGUUCAAGUGUCCCAAUGACUCUUCAACUGCGUGGCGAUGGUUCCUGAUUGACUUACAGGGCUAUAAACUGAAAAAAGCCCAAGCAAACCCAAAAGCUUUUGUAACUGAUGUGCUGGGAGCAACUCAGAAAUUGCCAGACAAAACUUACUGAUAAGAAUGUGCAAACAUGCCAAAGAACUGAAGAAUAAUUCCGGAAUUGAGAAACCGAGUAUAGUUUUCCUAGUUGCUUCCUGGUUCAAGUUCCAUCUUUCUUAAUACAGCUGAAUAAAGUUAAAACUGCUGUUUGUUAUAUGCACAGUGGUAAAAACUACACCAUUUAGAUAAACUCCGUGUUGAAAUGAUUAUUUUCCUUAAAGUAACUAGCAUUUUCUCAGUCCCGUAUCAUGUGCGAUCACAAAACAGAUGUGCAAAUAUAAAUCAACCACGAGGAGUAAUUUAAAUCCUAACAAUGAACUGAUUCUUCACAUGCAAAAGCUUGUACAGAGGAGCAGCUUUAUAGCAUAACCUGGGAAGAGCAGGAUAAAAACCAAACAUCGUGUUGUAGCAAGCCAGCCCAGUUCAGCAGAGCACUCGUGUGGGUUUGUGUGACAUUAAACACAUCAGGAUUCUCGAACCGCUGCAUCCGAAUGCUGUGUAAGCGACUGGAUCACCCUCAGGGACAGGCACACAUUCCCAAAGUCAUCAAGGCAGAAACUGAACUGCAGAGCUACCCAUUUGCUAAAACACGUUACACUGUGAACUCGUUUUCUCUGCCAAGAAGCAGGGAGCUGCCUGUUAUCAUGGCUGAACUCCUUCUGGAAUCUCAUCAUUCUCAGUUGGAAACUAGAACACCUACUUUUACCCACCACUGCAGCACGUGGUCCUGUCCCACCCUAAGCUCACCCAAGAGCAGCCGGAAGCAAGCUGACAGGCUUCUCUUUUAAGGGUCUGGGCCCCUGCUCGAGAUUGCUGCCUCUGCUUUUGUACAGUCACUCUAAAAAAUAAAGCAUCAUAACACAGAGUUAUUUUGAAGGGACUGCACUUAGGAAGCUCACCCAUGCAUAGAUACACUCACGAGGCCAGAUUCUAGACUGUCUGGGGAGCUGAGGUUCUUUCACCUGGAGAGGAACAUCUCCCACCUCCAAAACAUGCACUAUGU
This 1576-nucleotide long non-coding RNA is filed under the name Strigops habroptila (Kakapo). RNAcentral's name for it is "lncRNA (ENSSHBG00005004110.1)". Lineage: Eukaryota; Metazoa; Chordata; Aves; Psittaciformes; Psittacidae. The record is from RNAcentral.